UACAGAGGGGGCAAGCGUUGUUCGGAAUUACUGGGCGUAAAGGGCGCGUAGGCGGCCGCCUAAGUCAGACGUGAAAUCCCUCGGCUUAACCGGGGAACUGCAUCUGAUACUGGAUGGCUUGAGUUCGGGAGAGGGAUGCGGAAUUCCAGGUGUAGCGGUGAAAUGCGUAGAUAUCUGGAGGAACACCGGUGGCGAAGGCGGCAUCCUGGACCGGCAUUGACGCUGAGGCGCGAAAGCCAGGGGAGCAAACGGG
RNAcentral lists this ribosomal RNA (253 nucleotides) under uncultured bacterium. Its description in RNAcentral is "partial 16S ribosomal RNA". It matches the Rfam family "Bacterial small subunit ribosomal RNA", at positions 524 to 776 of the family's 1533-position model. The record is from RNAcentral.